This 72-nucleotide transfer RNA is filed under the name Camelus bactrianus (Bactrian camel). It matches the Rfam family "tRNA". Rfam says of the family: Transfer RNA (tRNA) molecules are approximately 80 nucleotides in length. Their secondary structure includes four short double-helical elements and three loops (D, anti-codon, and T loops). Further hydrogen bonds mediate the characteristic L-shaped molecular structure. tRNAs have two regions of fundamental functional importance: the anti-codon, which is responsible for specific mRNA codon recognition, and the 3' end, to which the tRNAs corresponding amino acid is attached (by aminoacyl-tRNA synthetases). tRNAs cope with the degeneracy of the genetic code in two manners: having more than one tRNA (with a specific anti-codon) for a particular amino acid; and 'wobble' base-pairing, i.e. permitting non-standard base-pairing at the 3rd anti-codon position. RNAcentral also lists the same sequence under 2 other names. The record is from Rfam by way of RNAcentral. Lineage: Eukaryota; Metazoa; Chordata; Mammalia; Artiodactyla; Camelidae.
GAGGCUGUAGCUCAGUGGCAGAGCACAGGCUUAGCAUGCAUGAGGUCCUGGGUUCAAUCCCCAGUACCUCCA